UACGUAGGGGGCAAGCGUUGUCCGGAUUUAUUGGGCGUAAAGAGCGUGUAGGCGGCCAAGUAAGUCUGCUGUGAAAACUCGAGGCUUAACCUCGAGCUGUCGGCGGAAACUAUUUGGCUAGAGUCCGGAAGAGGAGAAUGGAAUUCCCGGUGUAGCGGUGAAAUGCGCAGAUAUCGGGAAGAACACCCGUGGCGAAGGCGGUUCUCUGGGACGGUACUGACGCUGAGACGCGAAAGCGUGGGGAGCGAACAGG
RNAcentral lists this ribosomal RNA (253 nucleotides) under uncultured bacterium. RNAcentral's name for it is "partial 16S ribosomal RNA". It matches the Rfam family "Bacterial small subunit ribosomal RNA", at positions 524 to 776 of the family's 1533-position model. RNAcentral also lists the same sequence under 1 other name. The record is from RNAcentral.